This 830-nucleotide long non-coding RNA is filed under the name Amphibalanus amphitrite. RNAcentral describes it as "uncharacterized LOC122364529, transcript variant X7". The record is from RNAcentral. Lineage: Eukaryota; Metazoa; Arthropoda; Thecostraca; Balanomorpha; Balanidae.
GCCUAUAAUAAUAUUCGUAUUGAAUAUAUUGAAGAAUCUUUUUGAAUAUUGUGUUUUGCUUUGCGCUGAGCGUUCUUGAUCCGUCUCCUGCAUUUAGCGGUGGAGGCCGAUGGAGUCACACUCAGCACCACUGAUUGGAGCAUCCGCUGUUCGGCAACAGCGAGUCGCGGCCACGGGAGCGGGCGAUCAACCUGGUUGUGGGAUUUCUGACCGCUCUCAUCGUUUUCAUCACCCUCAUCAGCGCCUUCGUCUUCCACGAGUAUUCGCCGAGAGGAGUCAAUAUCUUUCUAGGCGUUAUUAUCGUCCUCAUCUGUGCAUCACAUCUCACCGUGAUAUGGUGGUACCGGCAGGGCGACCUGGACCCCAAGUUUCGCGUGCUCAUCUUUUUCAACGCGUUCUGCAUCGUGCUGCUAUGCGUAUGCGCCAACCUGUACUUCCACCUGCCGGACCCGAACAAAACCUAGAGACGGCCGCGACACCGGGCCGCCGCGCGUCAGCUCUGCGCCCAUAGUGAGAACUCCCGUGUAUCCGCUCCGUGUGUGUGGGUGUGGGUGUCUGUUUGACAGUGUGUGUUAGUGUAUGUGUGUGAAGCGAUAAUAUGCCAUUCUGAGAGCGGAAGGCAGCCGCUCGUCGGCGGGAUGUGUGGUGAGCUGACUCGGGUGGGCGCGAUUAUCCGCGAUUGGAGGCUAUUCUCGGGCUGGGUUAGGUAUAUUUGUUACCCGGCCAAACGUUUGACAAGGUUAGUGGCCGAUAUCUUUCAGGUUCCUUCUGCAUCGUGCUGAAAACCCGGGAUCGGAAGGAACCACUUAUGAUAUAUGUAUGCGUUGGUG